This 233-nucleotide ribosomal RNA is filed under the name Salmonella enterica subsp. enterica serovar Typhimurium. Its description in RNAcentral is "partial 23S ribosomal RNA". It matches the Rfam family "Bacterial large subunit ribosomal RNA", at positions 454 to 687 of the family's 2925-position model. The record is from RNAcentral. Lineage: Bacteria; Pseudomonadati; Pseudomonadota; Gammaproteobacteria; Enterobacterales; Enterobacteriaceae.
CAUCCUCCAAGGCUAAAUACUCCUGACUGACCGAUAGUGAACCAGUACCGUGAGGGAAAGGCGAAAAGAACCCCGGCGAGGGGAGUGAAAAAGAACCUGAAACCGUGUACGUACAAGCAGUGGGAGCACAGGUUUACCUGUGUGACUGCGUACCUUUUGUAUAAUGGGUCAGCGACUUAUAUUCUGUAGCAAGGUUAACCGUAUAGGGGAGCCGGAGGGAAACCGAGUCUUAA